RNAcentral lists this ribosomal RNA (746 nucleotides) under uncultured bacterium. RNAcentral's name for it is "bacterial SSU rRNA". It matches the Rfam family "Bacterial small subunit ribosomal RNA", at positions 103 to 827 of the family's 1533-position model. The record is from RNAcentral.
CGGGUGAGUAACGCGUAGAUAAUCUGCCUUAGACUCUGGGAUAACAUCUCGAAAGGGGUGCUAAUACCGGAUAAGCCCACGGGGACGUGAGUUCUUGCGGGAAAAGGGGGCCUCUGCAUAUGCUCUUGAUCUAAGAUGAGUCUGCGUACCAUUAGCUUGUUGGUAGGGUAAUGGCCUACCAAGGCGACGAUGGUUAGCUGGUCUGAGAGGAUGAUCAGCCACACUGGGACUGAGACACGGCCCAGACUCCUACGGGAGGCAGCAGUGGGGAAUUUUGCGCAAUGGGGGAAACCCUGACGCAGCAACGCCGCGUGAGUGAUGAAGGCUUUCGGGUCGUAAAGCUCUGUCUAGAGGGAAGAAGUGAUAUUUGGCUAAUACCCAGAUUUCUUGACGGUACCUCUGAAGGAAGCACCGGCUAACUCCGUGCCAGCAGCCGCGGUAAUACGGAGGGUGCAAGCGUUGUUCGGAAUUAUUGGGCGUAAAGCGCGUGUAGGCGGUUUGUUAAGUCUGAUGUGAAAGCCCUGGGCUCAACCUGGGAAGUGCGUUGGAAACUGGCGGACUUGAAUACGGGAGAGGGUAGUGGAAUUCCGAGUGUAGGAGUGAAAUCCGUAGAUAUUCGGAGGAACACCGGUGGCGAAGGCGGCUACCUGGACCGAUAUUGACGCUGAGACGCGAAAGCGUGGGUAGCAAACAGGAUUAGAUACCCUGGUAGUCCACGCCGUAAACGAUGAGUACUAGGUGUUGCG